CCUAAUAAAGGAGUUUACACACCGAAAUGCGUCAUCCUCCACGCGGCGUUGCUGCAUCAGAGUUUCCUCCAUUGUGCAAUAUUCCUCACUGCUGCCUCCCGUAGG
RNAcentral lists this ribosomal RNA (105 nucleotides) under uncultured bacterium. RNAcentral's name for it is "partial 16S ribosomal RNA". The record is from RNAcentral.